GUGGUUUUACAGGGGGAUCCUACUUUGU
This 28-nucleotide non-coding RNA is filed under the name Homo sapiens (human). Lineage: Eukaryota; Metazoa; Chordata; Mammalia; Primates; Hominidae. The record is from RNAcentral.